ACGGGUGAGUAACGCGUGGGAAUCUACCCAUCUCUGCGGAAUAGCUCUGGGAAACUGGAAUUAAUACCGCAUACGCCCUACGGGGGAAAGAUUUAUCGGGGAUGGAUGAGCCCGCGUUGGAUUAGCUAGUUGGUGGGGUAAAGGCCUACCAAGGCGACGAUCCAUAGCUGGUCUGAGAGGAUGAUCAGCCACAUUGGGACUGAGACACGGCCCAAACUCCUACGGGAGGCAGCAGUGGGGAAUAUUGGACAAUGGGCGCAAGCCUAAUCCAGCCAUGCCGCGUGAGUGAUGAAGGCCUUAGGGUUGUAAAGCUCUUUCACCGAUGAAGAUAAUGACGGUAGUCGGAGAAGAAGCCCCGGCUAACUUCGUGCCAGCAGCCGCGGUAAUACGAAGGGGGCUAGCGUUGUUCGGAAUUACUGGGCGUAAAGCGCACGUAGGCGGAUAUUUAAGUCAGGGGUGAAAUCCCGCAGCUCAACUGCGGAACUGCCUUUGAUACUGGGUAUCUUGAGUAUGGAAGAGGUAAGUGGAAUUCCGAGUGUAGAGGUGAAAUUCGUAGA
This 557-nucleotide ribosomal RNA is filed under the name uncultured Rhizobium sp. RNAcentral describes it as "bacterial SSU rRNA". It matches the Rfam family "Bacterial small subunit ribosomal RNA", at positions 102 to 694 of the family's 1533-position model. The record is from RNAcentral. Lineage: Bacteria; Pseudomonadati; Pseudomonadota; Alphaproteobacteria; Hyphomicrobiales; Rhizobiaceae.